This 260-nucleotide unclassified non-coding RNA is filed under the name Bombus terrestris (buff-tailed bumblebee). Its description in RNAcentral is "misc RNA ENSBTSG00005030876.1". Lineage: Eukaryota; Metazoa; Arthropoda; Insecta; Hymenoptera; Apidae. The record is from RNAcentral.
UCAUUGAUAUAAUAUGACGCAUGCGCGCCAUGCUACUACGUCAUGUAGAUCCAGUUACAUAAAAUCUUUGGCAAAGAUUCACCACGUGCAUCCACAAAUUCCUGUGAACAGGGUAAUAUUAAAUUUGACAUAAAUAGUCUAAGGAGAAGUUAGAAACGGGAUUAAUUUACUAGUACGUUAAAUUAAGAUCCUUACAUCACGAGUGGGAUCGUCAAUACUGCUAUCUGCAUUUAAAACUUCACCUAAAAACCCCCCCAAAA